Molecule: unclassified non-coding RNA, 206 nt
Filed under: Ascomycota sp.
Lineage: Eukaryota; Fungi; Ascomycota
Description: partial contains small subunit ribosomal RNA, internal transcribed spacer 1, and 5.8S ribosomal RNA
Rfam family: Eukaryotic small subunit ribosomal RNA (bases 1-47)
Source: RNAcentral
AAAGUCGUAACAAGGUCUCCGUAGGUGAACCUGCGGAGGGAUCAUUAGUGAAUGGCCCUCUGGGCCUUCGAGCCCCACACCCACUGUGGAAGCGAGCCUGUGCUUUGGCGCCCAUUCUGGCGCCAUCCCGAUGCGGCCGACCCAUCUUGUGUCUGAAUCGACCUUGGGAGUUAAAAAAACUUUCAACAAAGGAUCUCUUGGCUCUC